AACAUGCAAGUCGAACGGAAGUCGUCAUAAUGAUUCUGAUAUGGAUAUGAAGAUUAUCAGAUUGAAAUUGAAGUUGAUUUAUGACAAUGGCUUUAGUGGCGGACUGGUGAGUAACGCGUAAGCAAUCUGCCUAUUAGAGGGGAAUAACAGUGAGAAAUCAUUGCUAAUACCGCAUAUGCCAUAGUUAUCACAUGAUAGUAGUGGGAAAGGAGUAAUCCGCUAAUAGAUGAGCUUGCGUCUGAUUAGCUAGUUGGUGGGGUAACGGCCUACCAAGGCGACGAUCAGUAGCCGGACUGAGAGGUUGAACGGCCACAUUGGGACUGAGAUACGGCCCAGACUCCUACGGGAGGCAGCAGUCGGGAAUAUUGCGCAAUGGAGGAAAAACCUCUGACGCAGUGACGCCGCGUAUAGGAUGAAGGUUUUCGGAUUGUAAACUAUUGUCGUUAGGGAAGAUAAAAGACAGUACCUAAGGAGGAAGCUCCGGCUAACUACGUGCCAGCCGCCGC
RNAcentral lists this ribosomal RNA (506 nucleotides) under uncultured bacterium. Its description in RNAcentral is "bacterial SSU rRNA". It matches the Rfam family "Bacterial small subunit ribosomal RNA", at positions 52 to 518 of the family's 1533-position model. The record is from RNAcentral.